Molecule: ribosomal RNA, 253 nt
Filed under: uncultured bacterium
Lineage: Bacteria
Description: partial 16S ribosomal RNA
Rfam family: Bacterial small subunit ribosomal RNA
Source: RNAcentral
UACGGGGGGGGCAAGCGUUGGUCGGAAUUACUGGGCGUAAAGGGCGCGUAGGCGGUUGGAUAAGUCAGCUGUGAAAACCACGAGCUCAACUUGUGGCCUGCAGUUGAAACUGUCUGGCUAGAGUGUGGGAGAGGGAAGUGGAAUUCCUGGUGUAGCGGUGAAAUGCGUAGAUAUCAGGAGGAACACCGGUGGCGAAGGCGGCUUCCUGGACCACAACUGACGCUGAGGCGCGAAAGCCAGGGGAGCAAACAGG